ACACCCGGGUAACCGCUGGGCAACCAGAGGAAAGUCCAUGCUCGCACCGCCUGUGAUGGCGGUAGUGUUUGUGCUAAAUGAAACGAUAAAUUUAGGCAGAGCAAUCUGACGGCCGAUCAAAUCCUAAAGCGAAAGCCAUGGAUGGCGUCUGUAAAAGUGCCACAGUGACGUAGUCUUUGGGGAAACCCAAAGAGUGGAACGAGGUAAACCCCGCAAGCGAGAAACCCAAAAUUGGUAGGGGAAUUCACAAAGACGAAACGAAGUCUGAGUGGGGCACGGCAACGUGCAGAUAAAUGGUUACCCCCUUGUAAAAGGGACAGAACAUGGCUUACAGGG
Molecule: RNase P RNA, 336 nt
Filed under: Firmicutes bacterium HGW-Firmicutes-10
Lineage: Bacteria; Bacillati; Bacillota
Description: RNase P RNA component class B
Rfam family: Bacterial RNase P class B
About the family: Ribonuclease P (RNase P) is a ubiquitous endoribonuclease, found in archaea, bacteria and eukarya as well as chloroplasts and mitochondria. Its best characterised activity is the generation of mature 5'-ends of tRNAs by cleaving the 5'-leader elements of precursor-tRNAs. Cellular RNase Ps are ribonucleoproteins.
Source: RNAcentral